CAAAUAAGUCAGCCUAAUCUAGCUUGUCGCCCAAGCUGGAGCGGAGGAACCCAUCAAGGGGCUAAUCAAGAUCCGCAACCUCGACAUUCCAGAAAUUAUCGAGGUUCUUCUUGAAGGACAUCUCUCAGUCCUCGCCCGUCAGCUAACUUCGUAGGCUUUGAGAGGAGACUGG
Molecule: small RNA, 172 nt
Filed under: Desertifilum tharense IPPAS B-1220
Lineage: Bacteria; Bacillati; Cyanobacteriota; Cyanophyceae; Desertifilales; Desertifilaceae
Also listed under: 1 other name
Description: Desertifilum sp. IPPAS B-1220 c-di-AMP riboswitch aptamer (ydaO/yuaA leader)
Rfam family: c-di-AMP riboswitch aptamer (ydaO/yuaA leader)
About the family: This family represents a conserved RNA structure found upstream of the ydaO and yuaA genes in Bacillus subtilis and related genes in other bacteria. The ydaO/yuaA element is thought to act as a genetic "off" switch for the ydaO and yuaA genes in its native state.
Source: Rfam by way of RNAcentral